Molecule: ribosomal RNA, 253 nt
Filed under: uncultured bacterium
Lineage: Bacteria
Description: partial 16S ribosomal RNA
Rfam family: Bacterial small subunit ribosomal RNA
Source: RNAcentral
UACGGAGGGUGCAAGCGUUAUCCGGAUUCACUGGGUUUAAAGGGUGCGUAGGCGGGUAGGUAAGUCAGUGGUGAAAUCUCGAAGCUUAACUUCGAAACUGCCAUUGAUACUAUCUAUCUUGAAUAUUGUGGAGGUUUGCGGAAUAUGUCAUGUAGCGGUGAAAUGCUUAGAUAUGACAUAGAACACCUAUUGCGAAGGCAGCAGGCUACGCAUAUAUUGACGCUGAGGCACGAAAGCGUGGGGAUCAAACAGG